This 92-nucleotide transfer RNA is filed under the name Desarmillaria tabescens. Its description in RNAcentral is "Armillaria tabescens (ringless honey mushroom) tRNA". It matches the Rfam family "tRNA". From Rfam's summary of the family: Transfer RNA (tRNA) molecules are approximately 80 nucleotides in length. Their secondary structure includes four short double-helical elements and three loops (D, anti-codon, and T loops). Further hydrogen bonds mediate the characteristic L-shaped molecular structure. tRNAs have two regions of fundamental functional importance: the anti-codon, which is responsible for specific mRNA codon recognition, and the 3' end, to which the tRNAs corresponding amino acid is attached (by aminoacyl-tRNA synthetases). tRNAs cope with the degeneracy of the genetic code in two manners: having more than one tRNA (with a specific anti-codon) for a particular amino acid; and 'wobble' base-pairing, i.e. permitting non-standard base-pairing at the 3rd anti-codon position. The record is from Rfam by way of RNAcentral. Lineage: Eukaryota; Fungi; Basidiomycota; Agaricomycetes; Agaricales; Physalacriaceae.
UCUCUGAUAGUAUAUCGGUUAGUACACGCGCCUGUCACCCAGUUGAUGUUAGAUGGUCGCGCGAAAGCUGGGUUCGACUCCCAGUCAGAGAG